RNAcentral lists this ribosomal RNA (468 nucleotides) under uncultured bacterium. Its description in RNAcentral is "partial 16S ribosomal RNA". It matches the Rfam family "Bacterial small subunit ribosomal RNA", at positions 28 to 507 of the family's 1533-position model. The record is from RNAcentral.
GACGAACGCUGGCGGCGUGCUUAACACAUGCAAGUCGAACGGAAAGGCCCUGCUUUUGUGGGGUGCUCGAGUGGCGAACGGGUGAGUAACACGUGAGUAACAUGCCCUUGACUUUGGGAUAACUUCAGGAAACUGGGGCUAAUACCGGAUAGGAGCUCCUGCUGCAUGGUGGGGGUUGGAAAGUUUCGGCGGUUGGGGAUGGACUUGCGGCUUAUCAGCUUGUUGGUGGGGUAGUGGCUUACCAAGGCUUUGACGGGUAGCCGGCCUGAGAGGGUGACCGGCCACAUUGGGACUGAGAUACGGCCCAGACUCCUACGGGAGGCAGCAGUGGGGAAUAUUGCACAAUGGGCGGAAGCCUGAUGCAGCAACGCCGCGUGCGGGAUGACGGCCUUCGGGUUGUAAACCGCUUUCGCCUGUGACGAAGCGUGAGUGACGGUAAUGGGUAAAGAAGCACCGGCUAACUACGUG